UACGUAGGGUGCGAGCGUUAAUCGGAAUUACUGGGCGUAAAGCGUGCGCAGGCGGUUUUGUAAGUCAGAUGUGAAAUCCCCGGGCUUAACCUGGGAACUGCGUUUGAAACUACAAGGCUAGAGUGUGGCAGAGGGGGGUGGAAUUCCACGUGUAGCAGUGAAAUGCGUAGAGAUGCGGAGGAACACCGAUGGCGAAGGCAGCCCCCUGGGCUAACACUGACGCUCAGGCACGAAAGCGUGGGGAGCAAACAGG
Molecule: ribosomal RNA, 253 nt
Filed under: uncultured bacterium
Lineage: Bacteria
Description: partial 16S ribosomal RNA
Rfam family: Bacterial small subunit ribosomal RNA
Source: RNAcentral